Molecule: ribosomal RNA, 252 nt
Filed under: uncultured microorganism
Description: partial small subunit ribosomal RNA
Rfam family: Bacterial small subunit ribosomal RNA
Source: RNAcentral
UACGUAGGUGGCGAGCGUUGUCCGGAAUGAUUGGGCGUAAAGGGAGCGCAGGCGGGAAAGUAAGUCUAUCUUAAAAGUGCGGGGCUCAACCCCGUGAGGGGAUGGAAACUAUUUUUCUUGAGUGCAGGAGAGGAAAGCGGAAUUCCUAGUGUAGCGGUGAAAUGCGUAGAGAUUAGGAAGAAUACCAGUGGCGAAGGCGCCUUUCUGGACUGUAACUGACACUGAGGCUCGAAAGCGUGGGGAGCAAACAGG